CAGUAGCCGCGGUAAUACGUAGGUGGCAAGUGUUGUCCGGAAUUAUUAGGCGUAAAGCGCGCGCAGGCGGAUCAGUCAGUCUGUCUUAAAAGUUCGGGGCUUAACCCCGUGAUGGGAUGGAAACUGCUGAUCUAGAGUAUCGGAGAGGAAAGUGGAAUUCCUAGUGUAGCGGUGAAAUGCGUAGAUAUUAGGAAGACCACCAGUGGCGAAGGCGACUUUCUGGACGAAAACUGACGCUGAGGCGCGAAAGCCAGGGGAGCGAACGGGAUUAGAUACCCGUGUAGUCCCUGUCUCUUAUACA
This 301-nucleotide ribosomal RNA is filed under the name uncultured bacterium. RNAcentral's name for it is "partial 16S ribosomal RNA". It matches the Rfam family "Bacterial small subunit ribosomal RNA", at positions 509 to 809 of the family's 1533-position model. The record is from RNAcentral.